This is a non-coding RNA of Chrysemys picta bellii (western painted turtle), 432 nucleotides long. The record is from RefSeq and is a predicted model, not a curated record. NCBI's taxonomy places the organism in Eukaryota, Metazoa, Chordata, Testudines, Emydidae.
CUGGACCUGUCUGAAAACGGCCUGCAAUCACUUCCCGACGAGAUUGGGAGUCUGUAUAACUGUAUGGAGCUGGAUCUCUCAGGGAAUCAAUUGAUGGGCGUCCCUGAUUCACUUGCCAAUUUGCGGUCUCUGCAGCAGCUGCAUCUUCACAGCAAUCUCCUGGUGACUGUCCCCGCAUCCCUUGCCAGCCUUCCCAACUUGUCCAGGCUUGACUUGCAGAACAACUGGCUCCGCUCCAUCCCCCCCCGAGAUCCAGCACUCUCCCUUCAUGCACCUGCGGGGCAAUCCGCUAGGAGAACCUGAGAUCCCCCUGCAAUCUGAUGAAUCCAGCUCAGGAGAGCUAGGAAGAGUGUUCCUUGUACCCAAUGAGGACAGGUAUUUCACGCAGUGUCUCUGUUAUUUUUGUUACUAUUUAUUAUUUUGUAGUGCAGU